GGGCCUAUGGUCCAGCGGCAAGACGCCACAUUCGCAUUGUGGAGACGCGAGUUCGAUUCUCGCUAGGUCCACCC
Molecule: transfer RNA, 74 nt
Filed under: Candidatus Portnoybacteria bacterium RBG_13_41_18
Lineage: Bacteria; Candidatus Portnoyibacteriota
Description: tRNA-Ala
Rfam family: tRNA
About the family: Transfer RNA (tRNA) molecules are approximately 80 nucleotides in length. Their secondary structure includes four short double-helical elements and three loops (D, anti-codon, and T loops).
Source: RNAcentral